AUAGCUCAAGUGGUAGAGUACUUGUCUAGCAAGCAUGAGGCCCUGAGUUCAAAUCCUAGU
This 60-nucleotide transfer RNA is filed under the name Dipodomys ordii (Ord's kangaroo rat). It matches the Rfam family "tRNA", at positions 7 to 64 of the family's 71-position model. From Rfam's summary of the family: Transfer RNA (tRNA) molecules are approximately 80 nucleotides in length. Their secondary structure includes four short double-helical elements and three loops (D, anti-codon, and T loops). Lineage: Eukaryota; Metazoa; Chordata; Mammalia; Rodentia; Heteromyidae. The record is from Rfam by way of RNAcentral.